ACAAGUACAUUGUAUCAUUCCGCCUAAAUAAUUCUUACAGAAGUUUUCGCCAACCGACAGUGUAAAUUUGUAAUAGUGUAUACUAAACCAGUUUGGUAACAGAUUCGUCAGCAGGAACUCUCGCGAGAUGCAAAAAACGGCAUAAAAAUUACACGUGCGUUAGUUUGUGAUGUAGUUAUAUACCAUUCUCUUAACAUCACUUCGUCUUUAUACAUCUCAGCUACCGGAGAGAGAACUACUCUGUAUUGAGGUUCAGUGCUAACAGCUUUCGUGAAACAGAUCAAGGAUAUUGUGCUUAAGUGAACGGUUGAAAAUCGAUAUAAACAUAGUCAAUCAAAAGAUGAUUUUUAGUGACAUUAGAAGAACUUAACUAAGCAACAAUUGUUGUUUCUGUUUCUGACAAACAUUGAGGAUUUAUCAGCUAAAAACCCAAACAAAAAUUGGAAUUAUUUAGCAAUGAAAAUUGGAUAUACAGUGGUAACGAUAUUUCUUCUGUUGGUUAUGCAUGUUGUGUGGUGUACCAACGGUUUAAACGAAACCAAAAGCGAGAAACUUCGCAACUCAAAUAAACCAAGAAAAUCUGGUGCUUCGGUCAUAGAAAGGAACAUAAGUUUUCAUAAUCGCACAGAUGCAACAAAUAACACCACUGCCGCUCCGAAAAAUAUUGUUCAAAUAAAUACAUUCGAUACCAGAGCAAGCAAGAACAAACGACGAAAAGGAAAGUUAUCGCUAAUAUGUCCACAAGAGAGACAAGCCCCUUUUCAACUUUUCACAACAACAUGUAGGCGUAAUCGAGAGUGCACGAAAACAAACAGCAGGAUGAAGUGUUGUAACUUAUUCGGAAGUAAAAGAUGCGUAGAAGGAGUUAGAAAACCGAUUCCAGAACCACCCCAUGGUCCAAUAUUCGGCGUUCCAAGACGUUGUCCAGAACAACCAUUGACAGAAACAUUCUGGGAUAUCAAAACAUGUGAAGAUGACAAUGAUUGCUGGCCUCGAAUUUGUUGCCCUGAUGGCGAUAACAAAUAUUGCCGUACUUCACAGCCGUUAUUUGAAAAAUCUCCGAAUCCAGCAGCUAGACAAUUAGCUUACCCCAUUGAAGCAUUCUCUCAAUACCUGCAAUGCACUCCGGCACCGCCAGUAAUUUUUGACAUCCAUCCUAAGGCGUGUAACAGUACCUUGGAUUGCUUUCCGAACCUAUGUUGUUUAGAAGCUGGGAAGCGCCAUUGUAGACCCCCAAGGAAAUCGCUGCUUUCGCUAGUUACAGGCCUUACAUCGCGCAUAAACAUAGGUGUUCUGAAGGAUUUCACUGAAAAUCUUGUCAUAAGACGAUGAUCGAUGAUCGAAUUUAAUUUCAAAUCUGCCAUAACUGAUAGGAACAGAUAAACACCAAAUAUCCCAUUCAAAAUGAGAAAAAUUAUAAGCUAGAGAACUAGUGUUUAUGAAAAUAACGAAAAAACACAGAAAUCCGUCGUAGAAUCGUACAUCCGCUGCACCGACCCUUCCCCAGUGGAUUGAGAU
RNA transcript from Toxorhynchites rutilus septentrionalis, 1518 nucleotides. RefSeq lists it as uncharacterized. Lineage: Eukaryota; Metazoa; Arthropoda; Insecta; Diptera; Culicidae. The transcript is spliced from 6 exons. The record is from RefSeq and is a predicted model, not a curated record.